This is a small nucleolar RNA of Pecten maximus, 74 nucleotides long. The record is from RefSeq and is a predicted model, not a curated record. Lineage: Eukaryota; Metazoa; Mollusca; Bivalvia; Pectinida; Pectinidae.
CCAAAGUGAUGUUAAAUUGCUUUGCUUGAUAUUUUCAAUGAAAGCAAAAAUAACUGAUUUAAUGAGACUGAUUG